RNAcentral lists this ribosomal RNA (429 nucleotides) under bacterium. RNAcentral's name for it is "partial 16S ribosomal RNA". It matches the Rfam family "Bacterial small subunit ribosomal RNA", at positions 355 to 776 of the family's 1533-position model. The record is from RNAcentral.
UAGGGAAUCUUCGGCAAUGGGGGCAACCCUGACCGAGCAACGCCGCGUGAGUGAAGAAGGUUUUCGGAUCGUAAAGCUCUGUUGUAAGUCAAGAACGGGUGUGAGAGUGGAAAGUUCACACUGUGACGGUAGCUUACCAGAAAGGGACGGCUAACUACGUGCCAGCAGCCGCGGUAAUACGUAGGUCCCGAGCGUUGUCCGGAUUUAUUGGGCGUAAAGCGAGCGCAGGCGGUUUGAUAAGUCUGAAGUUAAAGGCUGUGGCUCAACCAUAGUUCGCUUUGGAAACUGUCAAGCUUGAGUGCAGAAGGGGAGAGUGGAAUUCCAUGUGUAGCGGUGAAAUGCGUGGAUAUAUGGAGGAACACCGGUGGCGAAAGCGGCUCUCUGGUCUGUAACUGACGCUGAGGCUCGAAAGCGUGGGGAGCGAACAGG